GCUGUGGUGGCUCAGUGGUUAAGGUUUUGUGCUACAGACCAGAAGGUCGUGUGUUCAAUCCCACCACCGCCA
Non-coding RNA from Pangasius djambal, 72 nucleotides. Lineage: Eukaryota; Metazoa; Chordata; Actinopteri; Siluriformes; Pangasiidae. The record is from the annotation of a GenBank genome assembly.